AUCAAGCAAGAAUGAAGAGACAAAUAACAUUUUUUAGUGCUUUCCUUUUCUUCUUUCUGUUGCAACCAUGCUCGGAAAGCUGUUCUGCUGGGAUAUGGCUGUGGAUUAGUGCUCGGAUUAGUUAUGGGAGGUCUCAUUUUCUUGACUGGAAAACCAAGAUGGAUUGUACUGAUUGUCGAAGAGUCGUUCAAACCGCGAAGGCGACCGAUGAAAUGGAUCCACAUACGAACUUAAGAAGGGCAAUGCAAUAAUUUACAUAACUGGUCUAUCAAUGGAGUGGAAAUAAGGAAAAGAUUUGGUUCAUUUCCAGUCGUACGUGCUGUGUAUUUUAGGCUGGUUCCUAAAAUACAAGUCUCAGAGCCUUGUUUUCAAGUCUUAGGCUGUGUAUUUUAGGCUGGUUCAUUUCUCGUGGUUUUCAAGUCUCAGAGCCUUGUGGUUGCUUGCGGCUGAAUCUGUAGGUUUAUAAUUGUAAGCAAGAAGACAUUUCAAUGGAUAAUUACUAUUAAUUGGGUAAGUGGUUCAGUAUGGCAUUGUGUAUUGAAAGUUGUCCGGUGCAAAUUAUGAGAAGGGUCCAUCAUUUUUUUGAUU
Molecule: non-coding RNA, 588 nt
Organism: Coffea arabica (coffee)
Lineage: Eukaryota; Viridiplantae; Streptophyta; Magnoliopsida; Gentianales; Rubiaceae
Source: RefSeq, a predicted model, not a curated record